Molecule: ribosomal RNA, 468 nt
Filed under: uncultured bacterium
Lineage: Bacteria
Description: partial 16S ribosomal RNA
Rfam family: Bacterial small subunit ribosomal RNA
Source: RNAcentral
GACGAACGCUGGCGGCGUGCUUAACACAUGCAAGUCGAACGGAAAGGCCCUGCUUUUGUGGGGUGCUCGAGUGGCGAACGGGUGAGUAACACGUGAGUAACCUGCCCUUGACUGUGGGAUAACAUCAGGAAACUGGGGCUAAUACCGGAUAGGAGCUCCUGCUGCACGGUGUGGGUUGGAAAGAUUCGGCGGUUGGGGAUGGACUCGCGGCUUAUCAGCUUGUUGGUGGAGUAGUUGCUUACCAAGGCUUUGACGGGUAGCCGGCCUGAGAGGGUUACCGGCCACAUGGGGCCUGCGAGACGGCCCAGACGCCUACGGGAGGCAGCAGUCGGGAGUAUUGCACAGUGAGCGGAAGCCUGAUGCAGCGACGCCGCGUGCGGGAUGACGGCCUUCGGGUUGUAAACCGCUGUCGCCUGUACCGAAGAGUGCGUGACGGUAAUGGGUAAAGAAGCACCGGCUAACUACGUG